AUCCAGUUGACGAGUCCCAAAUAGAACGAAAUACGCGUCUUUCUGGAU
This 48-nucleotide non-coding RNA is filed under the name Trichobilharzia regenti. Lineage: Eukaryota; Metazoa; Platyhelminthes; Trematoda; Strigeidida; Schistosomatidae. The record is from RNAcentral.